UGGUCUAUCUAUUCUAUGGUUUUAAAUGCAUGUAUUACUGUCUUACUUGACCACUGUGUGAUUUUUGAAUUUAUGAUAUGAUUGUAUUACCGGGUGCAUGUUUAUUGUUUAUGUGAUUAUGCUCAACUUGGUAACAGAGACUAAGGAAAAACAAAUAAGGUGACAGCCUCACUAGAUAUCCUGGGAGAUGGCGGACGGACCAGAUUCAUAGGGAACCCUACCGUGAAUGUUGUCUCAUACCGGAAGGGGAAUGGAGACUUGGUCAUUUGGCGCUCAUACCAAACGGGGUAUGGGGAUGACUCAUUUCAUCCUCAUAGCGGACGGGGUAUGGGGAUGGCCCU
Molecule: long non-coding RNA, 341 nt
Filed under: Carica papaya (papaya)
Lineage: Eukaryota; Viridiplantae; Streptophyta; Magnoliopsida; Brassicales; Caricaceae
Description: long non-coding RNA (CPAP_LNC001865)
Source: RNAcentral